UACGGGGGGGGCAAGCGUUGUUCGGAAUUACUGGGCGUAAAGGGCUCGUAGGUGGCCAACUAAGUCAGACGUGAAAUCCCUCGGCUCAACCGGGGAACUGCGUCUGAUACUGGAGGGCUUGAAUCCGGGAGAGGGAUGUGGAAUUCCAGGUGUAGCGGUGAAAUGCGUAGAUAUCUGGAGGAACACCGGUGGCGAAGGCGGCAUCCUGGACCGGUAUUGACGCUGAGGCGCGAAAGCUAGGGGAGCAAACGGG
RNAcentral lists this ribosomal RNA (253 nucleotides) under uncultured bacterium. Its description in RNAcentral is "partial 16S ribosomal RNA". It matches the Rfam family "Bacterial small subunit ribosomal RNA", at positions 524 to 776 of the family's 1533-position model. The record is from RNAcentral.